RNAcentral lists this ribosomal RNA (129 nucleotides) under uncultured Desulfovibrio sp. Its description in RNAcentral is "partial 16S ribosomal RNA". It matches the Rfam family "Bacterial small subunit ribosomal RNA", at positions 1254 to 1382 of the family's 1533-position model. The record is from RNAcentral. Lineage: Bacteria; Pseudomonadati; Thermodesulfobacteriota; Desulfovibrionia; Desulfovibrionales; Desulfovibrionaceae.
UCAGCGAUGAGGCGCUAAUCCCAUAAAGCCGGUCUCAGUCCGGAUCGCAGUCUGCAACUCGACUCCAUGAAGUUGGAAUCGCUAGUAAUCGCGGAUCAGUACGCCGCGGUGAAUACGUUCCCGGGCCUU